RNAcentral lists this ribosomal RNA (393 nucleotides) under uncultured bacterium. RNAcentral's name for it is "partial 16S ribosomal RNA". It matches the Rfam family "Bacterial small subunit ribosomal RNA", at positions 523 to 918 of the family's 1533-position model. The record is from RNAcentral.
AUACGGAGGAUCCGAGCGUUAUCCGGAUUUAUUGGGUUUAAAGGGUGCGCAGGCGGGAGAUUAAGUCGGCGGUGAAAUUUUGCAGCUCAACUGUAAAAGUGCCUUCGAAACUGGUUUCCUUGAGUGUAGAUGAAGUAGGCGGAAUUUGUGGUGUAGCGGUGAAAUGCAUAGAUAUCACGAGGAACUCCGAUUGCGCAGGCAGCUUACUAAAUUACUACUGACGCUCAGGCACGAAGGCGUGGGGAUCAAACAGGAUUAGAUACCCUGGUAGUCCACGCAGUAAACGAUGAUUACUAGCUGUUUGCGAUACAAUGUAAGCGGCUGAGCGAAAGCGUUAAGUAAUCCACCUGGGGAGUACGUUCGCAAGGUUGAAACUCAAAGGAAUUGACGGGG